GCAGUAGUGGUUCAGUGGUAGAAAAUUCUUGCCUUCCAUGCAGGAGACUCAGGUUCGAUUCCCAGCCAAUGCA
Molecule: transfer RNA, 73 nt
Filed under: Loxodonta africana (African savanna elephant)
Lineage: Eukaryota; Metazoa; Chordata; Mammalia; Proboscidea; Elephantidae
Rfam family: tRNA
About the family: Transfer RNA (tRNA) molecules are approximately 80 nucleotides in length. Their secondary structure includes four short double-helical elements and three loops (D, anti-codon, and T loops). Further hydrogen bonds mediate the characteristic L-shaped molecular structure. tRNAs have two regions of fundamental functional importance: the anti-codon, which is responsible for specific mRNA codon recognition, and the 3' end, to which the tRNAs corresponding amino acid is attached (by aminoacyl-tRNA synthetases). tRNAs cope with the degeneracy of the genetic code in two manners: having more than one tRNA (with a specific anti-codon) for a particular amino acid; and 'wobble' base-pairing, i.e. permitting non-standard base-pairing at the 3rd anti-codon position.
Source: Rfam by way of RNAcentral